RNAcentral lists this long non-coding RNA (6950 nucleotides) under Sus scrofa (pig). RNAcentral describes it as "lncRNA (ENSSSCG00030067222.1)". Lineage: Eukaryota; Metazoa; Chordata; Mammalia; Artiodactyla; Suidae. The record is from RNAcentral.
AGUACGAAAAGAUUUUCAUUGUUUGUAAAAAAUUGGGUUAGCUCUUUGAGAUCAGAACCAAGAGCUUUAUGAUUUAGGGGGAAUUUUUUCACCCACUACAAAGAGUACAGCAUAAAAUAUAGUAUGCCAGAGGAUGUCCCUUUGGUAUUUUUCCUAUGAACUCUUUGUUUGUUUGUUUGUUUGUUUGUUUGUUUGUUUUGUCUUCUUGCCACACCUGAGGCAUGUGGAAUUAGUUCCCAGGCCAGGGAUCUAACCCAGGUGACAGCAGCGACCCAAGCUGCUGCAGUGGCAAUGCCAUAUCUUUAACCCACUGCCCCACAGGAAAACUCCUUUAUGAACUUCUUAAUGUAAGAGCAUGAGGAGAUUAAUUUUGUUGGACUUCUUGAAGAGGCUGAAAGGUAAGCGGAGUGGAGGCUGGGAAGAGAAAGAUGCCUUUGGCAAGGUGAUAGAGAGCUGAUAAGGAUGUGAAGAGGGGCAUUUAUUUAGCACUUGUUGAACUCACGAAUAUCACAAGUACUUGCCGUAUCUCACACAAUUACUGUGAAAAAACCUAUCAAGAAAGUUCAGUUAUCUUCCUUUUACAAAUGAGAAAGUAGAUGUGGUUAAGGAAAUUUUCCAAGUGCGCAGUUACUAAUUGACAGAACUAGGACUCAAACCCACAUUUAACUCAUUUCAGAGCCAUGCUUCUAGCCACUGUGCAUACUACUUACUGACCAUCAGGUUACAAGUGUUAGUUUUUUUUAAAAAACAGUAUUUUUGAGGUAUGUUAUCUAUUAUUUUAAUGUUGGAGAAAGAGAGUCUAGUUGCUGUUAAAGCGUAUGGUAAACCUGGAGUUCCCUUGUGGCACAAUGGUUUGACAAUCCUGUGUUGUCUCUGCAGUGACUCUGGUGGCUGCUGUGGCUUCAGGUUGGAUCCCCGGCUGGGACAUUUCCACAUUCUGUGGGCACAGCCAAAAAAAAAAAAAAAAAGUGUGGCAAAAUCAUAGAAUAGAUAAUGAUGUACAAAAAUUUUAAAAUACUUGUGUUGGCAUAAAAAAUAAAAAUAGCCGAGAUCAGUGGAAGAUAAAGAAUUCUUUGACUCAGAGGUCAAUUAUUUCAGGGAUUUAAAAAUGUGAUUGGAAAAAAUACACUUUCGGAGGAGUUUCCUGGUGUCUGAGGGGUUAAAAAUCUGGCGUUGUCACUGCUGUGGCCUUGGGUCACUGCUAUGUCAGGCGUUUGAUCCCUGGCCCGGGAACUUCCAUGUGUCACAGACGAGGCCCCAAAACAAAACAAAAGUUGGAGUAUGGGAAGUUAUAUCGAAUAAGGGACAGAUAAUGUAGUAUUUAGAAAAAAGAAGUGGAACUAUUUUGAAGUUAGAGUUCAGGGUAAAAAGACAAAUACUGGCGAGGAAGAGUGAAUGUAGCAUGGGUGAGCUGAGAUGGCAGAUCAGGGGUUCAGGACCUUGUUAGAGCUGGGGCAAUAGAAAUAAUGUAGAAACUGGAAAUGGGGGUGGAUAUAAAGAUGUGACCCACGUUGUUAAAGCAAGGGAUAAGAGCUGACUAAAGGAAGAACUUGAGUCCCCCAGGAAAGACUUAGAAGUGCUAGAAAGAGGAAGAGGUUUAUGGAAAAUACUGUGCAGUGAUUUUUUUUUUUUUUUUUUUUUUUUUUUUUUUUGUCUUUUUUUGUCUUUUUGUCUUUUGUUGUUGUUGUUGUUGCUAUUUCUUGGGCCGCUCCCGCGGCAUAUGGAGGUUCCCAGGCUAGGGGUCUAAUCGGAACUGUAGCCCCCAGCCUACCCCAGAGCCACAGCAACGCAGGAUCCGAGCCGCAUCUGCAACCUACACCACAGCUCACGGCAACGCCGGAUCGUUAACCCACUGAGCAAGGGCAGGGACCGAACCCGCAACCUCAUGGUUCCUAGUCGGAUUCGUUAACCACUGCGCCACGACGGGAACUCCUGUGCAGUGAUUUUAAGCUCAGCCUGACCUCUGUAGUAGAAGCAACAUUCUUGAGCAGUGAAUUAAACAGACAGAACGAUGUUAAGAUGUACCAUGGAUUUGUAUCCAUAUGCACUUAGUCUUGAAGAAUUGUGAGAAAAGCAUCAUUGACUGUGGAGCUUAAGGAUUUGAGUCCAGUGCUGGAUAGGCUAUUUCCUGUUAAGCUGUGUGACAUUGUGCAAGUUAUUUGCAGCCUCUGAACCUCGGUUUCCUCAUCCAUAAGAUGAGGUGUUGUUUACAUUAAAUGUGGUAAGGUGUGUGAAAGAACUGAACACAUGGUGAUACCGAAUUGUUUCCCAUAAUGCUCCUCUUAAAAGAUUUUAAAUGAAAGAAUGAAUGAUUUCAUAAAUUAAAAGAUCCAAAAAGGAUAAAAAUUAUACAGUAAAAAACAAUUCUCUAUCCACCUGUAACACUUGGGCCUGUACCCUAGAAGCAUUCCCCAUCAAUAGACUCCUGUAGCCUUCCAAAUAGUAUAUGUAAGAUCUCCAUGUUUACUUUGUAUAUCAUUUGGGAUAUUCUACAUGUUAUUUUUUUCACUUAAUAGUAUACUCUGGAGAUCAUUUUAUAAUAGCACAUGUGAACAAACUUCAUUAUUAUGAGUUUGAAAGUAUCACUUUAGCCAAUCCCCUCUUUUUUAAAAUUAAAAUGUAUAGUUGAUUUACAAUGUUGUGCCCGUUUCUGCUGCAACCAGUCCCCUCUUGAUGGGCACUUAGGUUACAUCUAGGUCUUAGUUUAUUAUCAACCAUUGGGCAUUCUGACAAACAUUGCAAUUUAACAAACAAUACUUCCUGUGUAUAAAGCCCAGUUUUAAGCAUCAUUAGAUAAAUUAGAAUUUUUUUUGCCAUCAAGGAACUCAUAACCUAGGAAGUGCAGUUGGCUGACAGUUCCUGACCUGUACACAACAGUCUAAGCAACAUGACUCAGAAAUGCUUUUUCCUGUCUCCACACUGCCACUUCCACUUAAAAAUCCCUAGUGUGUCUUUCUCUUAGAGGUAUAGAAACAGCCCUAUUUUGGGUGCCUUUCUAUCUCUUGACUCCUCUUUAGUUUUGGUUCUAUCAGAGAGGCAAACCAUUACCUCUACCCAUUGUAGGUUUUCCGCUGGGACCCUAACGAAAAGAUGGAUGAACAAGAGAAAAAGCACUUUAUUUAUGUGUCCAGCCCACAUUGUGGGGAGAAACCUAAACCAAAAGUCAUUCAAAAGGGUGGCUCAGAAUUCCAGCUUCUAGAGCAUCUUCAACCAAGAACAAGAAAUGUGUAGAGUCCUGUACACAGGCCAAAGGAAAGCAGGUUUAGGCUUCCAAGGGUGCAGACUGUGGAAAGGUAAAUAUCAGGAGGAAACGAGUGGAGUGAGAUUUGUUUGCUGAUUCCUCUGGUGCCGUUUCUGGGCUGAUAAAAUGUCUCCUUUCCUCCUGGUACAGAGAGGGCACCUUUGAACAUGGAAGUUUCAGAAAGGGAAAGGAGAGUGUCUUUCUUGUACCUGCUAUUUCCUAAGUACCUUUAAUUUAAAAAAAAAUCAGUAUGCCAGAAGUUCUGUGAUGGCUCAGUGGUUUAAAGAUCUGAUGUUGUCAUUGCUAUGGCUCAGGUCACUGCUGUGGCACGGGUUCAGUCCCUGGCCCAGGAACUCCUGCAUGCCACAGGUGUGGCCAAAAGAAAAAUCAGUAUGCCAAAGUGACAUGUUCCAGGGUGACACGUUCUGGUUUCCUUUAGUACCAAAGCAUUUGCACACCAGUGAACAGAUUAUGGAGGAUCUGUGAGCUUCACCAGCCUUGUCAUUAUAGAUCAAUAAGAGAAAAAAAAUGGAAAUAAAAAUACCAUUGCAAUAUUCAGUAAGCAUAUGAAUUGAAGGUACAGCUAUGAUUGAAAACAUUGUCACUAUAUACCAAAUGCAGAUAGAUAUAAUAAAAUAUAUCAAAUACAAUAAAAUAAUAAUUCCUAAUAGGUUAUUAAUAAUACUUCACAUUUACACAAUAAUUUAUUUUAAAAACUAUUUUAAUAGUGUUAUCUAAUUCACUUGGAUGAUUGGAUAAAUAAAAAGGCUCUUGGAAAUGCUUUGGAGGCAAAACUUUGUCAAUGAAAUUCUGAUGAACUAAAGUUAAAAUAGAUUUUAAGAUUUUAGAAUCAUAGGAUUUUAGUGCUUGAGGGAUAGUUUGAUUAACUGAUUCUAAAAGUGCUAUGAAUCUUGAAUUCAUUUGAUCAUCUGAUAAAAGCUACAUUUCCUCUCCUUAGAAAGAUAAAAUUCAUGCUGUAAUGCUGGAAGGUCCAUAGAUGUCUGGAAGCAAAUCCAUGGCUCACAGAGCAAUGUUUUGUUUUAUUUUUAAAUAAGUUUGUUGAGAUAUAAUUUAAGUACUAUAAAAUUCCAUUUUCAGCUUACAAUUUAAUUAAUUUUAGAAUACAGAGUUGAACUCCACAAACUAAUUUUAGAACCUUCAUCACCCUAAAAAGAAACCUUCAGUCCCUUUAUAGCCCCUCCCCAUUCCUACCCUCAGCCCUAGACAACCAGUAAUCUAAUUUCUGUCCCUCUGUUACUUGUAGGGCAAAGUUUAAAUUUUUUUUUUUUUACUUCUGUCCACAAUAAAAAAUGUGUUUGACAUCCAACUUAUAGAUGCACGCAGAGACACAAGUUUCAUAAACAGUAUUCUUAUUCUGUUCAAUGUACUCUGAUAUAUUCCAGACCCACUAGUAAGUUCUGACCCUCAGCUUGAAAAGCUUUGUCCUAGAUGGGCUACCGUACGUAAAAGUAAAACCAAACUAAAUCUUGAAGCAUAUAGUCUCCUUAUUUAAGAGCUGAAGAAACAGGCCCAGAAAUGUGACUUUCCCAAGGGAAAAGUUAGGAUUCGAAUUCAGGAUUACUUGUUCGACUUGCAGCUUCCAUAGUGUAAGAACAGAACAUUGCUAAAUGGUCAGAGGAAGAGUUGUUUAAUGCAUUAUAGUUUGCAGCAGGAGGAAAGAAACUUGAUUCUUCCUGGGGGAUGGGGAAGCGAGGAUGGCGGAACGGUUGUGAGGUUGCCCUGGACCAUUAGAGGAAAGCACGUCUGUUGCAAGGUGACAAAAAACGUGCCCUGGAGGCCACAGCCUGGGACUAAUUGCCCUGCAUCUGUUCAGGUUAUUAGAGUUGAAGCCAAGCAGCCUUUUCCACCGAGUUGUCUCCUGUGGCCCUGUUGCCCAGGAGUCUCUGGCAUGAGCGAGGAUGUUUGUAAUCUUUAGCCAUGACUCUGCAGCCCAAGCAGAAGCUCCUUCAUUUGCUUUCUGCAGUGCCUAUGGCCUUUCACCCCAUCUGCAUUCAGAACGCAUGCCUACAACUGCAUCCUCAUUCCUGUUUACUUUGCUACAAGUAAAAAUGUUAGCUCUCCAUAAACUGCUGAAUACUCAGUGAUGAUUGUGAAACUAUUGCCUGUGGUUCAUAUUUUGGGUAAUAAGAGCAAACUGGAGGGUGAUGGUAAGUGUCCAUGUAAGAAUUCAGAUGUUCAGCAAUUAAUCACUCAAAUAAUCGAUGGUAACUGUGAGGAGGGUUUUGAAGGAAAGGUACAGGUCCCCCCUGAGAUGUUAUAACUGGGGUCACUUGGCAAAGCCUGAUGAAGGAUAGAAUCCAACCUUUUUUAUUUAUUUAUUCAUUUAUUUAUUAUUUAUUUAUUUAUUUCUGCUUUUUAGGGCCGUACCUGCAACAUAUGGAGGUUCUCAGGCUAGGGGUCACUACAGCUGCCAGCCUACACUACAGCCACAGCAAUACAGGAUCCAAGCCGCACCUGCGACCUACACCACAGCUCAUGGCAGCGCCGGAUCCUCAACCCACUGAGCAAAGCCAGGGAUCUAACCUGUGUCCUCAUGGACGGUCGGGUUCAUUAACAGCUGAGCCACAAUGGGAACUCCAGAAUCCAAACUUUUCUCAUUCUGUUUACAUGAUGGGAAAGCAGAGUGUUUUCCAUUUCUAAAGGGACCCUAGACACUCAAUCCUGAGCUUGAAAUAUGGCUGAGUAGAUAAACGAAGUACAGUGGGUAAUUUCCAGAGCAGUUAUCAGCUUCUUUGGCAGGAAGAUGUAUGAUUAAACAUUGCAUCCAUCAAAUCAGCUAUGGAGAGGAGUCAUAGAGAAGGAGGAUUCCAUUUCAGAUCCCAAUCCAAGAACUUCUUAGAACUCUGUAGCUCCUACGAAGGGAGCUCAGGGUAAAUUAGAGAAUGUGUUGUUUAUGUUCUUGUCGGAGGCAAGAACCAGGUACACAGGAACUAAGUGCAGUCUGGCCUGGGCAGAGUGUGAAGGAACUUGGGGAAUGAGACAUAUAUCGGAUGCAAAGUUCUUAGAGAGAACUGAGAAAACCAGCCAGCACACGAUUCCAGUAAGAUGGGAGAGAGUUGAAAUCUGAGACAAGAGAGUGAAAAGAGGAGGAAUGUGACAAGAAGAAGAGAAUACAAAAAUCUGCCUCAAGAAAAGGUAAGCACAAUAAAUGUGAGCCUCUUUAUAUCAGGAAGUAUAUGACAGUCUGCAGCAUCUGGAGAAGUAGCAUGCACACUCCUGAGAAUAACGGUGACGCAGUCCCUUGCUCUGGGAAAAGAGAGCAGAAGAAUGAACGAGAGAGAAAAAAAGAAAAGAAUAGGGGACAAAGAAUGCAAUGCCAACCUGGGAAGAAUUGUAAUUAACACAGGAGGGCCUUAACUGUUAGGUGAAAAUUGACCUUUUGAGUGAGAAAAUGGAUAUUGUGAUUCUUUAUGUGGCUGUGUGCAGAUGUGAUGUGACUUGUCUUUCUCCAGUACAACAGCUGGUACGGAAGUUCUAAAAAGGCUUAUAGAGCCCAUUUACUGGAAAAGGAAUGGGUUUGGAGGCAUAUUUGGUCAAGAAGCUUCUAGAGGCGUUGCCAUCAUGGCUCAGUAGUGAUGAAUUCGACUAGUAUCCAUGAGGAUGCAGGUUCAAUCCAUGGCCCUCUCAGCCUAGCCUGGGAACUUCCAGGUGCCGCAGAUGCAGCCCUAAAAAGACAAAAAAAAAAAAA